This 1177-nucleotide ribosomal RNA is filed under the name Bacillus sp. BAB-737. Its description in RNAcentral is "bacterial SSU rRNA". It matches the Rfam family "Bacterial small subunit ribosomal RNA", at positions 194 to 1359 of the family's 1533-position model. Lineage: Bacteria; Bacillati; Bacillota; Bacilli; Caryophanales; Bacillaceae. The record is from RNAcentral.
UCAGACAUAAAAGGUGGCUCGGCUACCACUUACAGAUGGACCCGCGGCGCAUUAGCUAGUUGGUGAGGUAACGGCUCACCAAGGCGACGAUGCGUAGCCGACCUGAGAGGGUGAUCGGCCACACUGGGACUGAGACACGGCCCAGACUCCUACGGGAGGCAGCAGUAGGGAAUCUUCCGCAAUGGACGAAAGUCUGACGGAGCAACGCCGCGUGAGUGAUGAAGGUUUUCGGAUCGUAAAGCUCUGUUGUUAGGGAAGAACAAGUGCCGUUCAAAUAGGGCGGCACCUUGACGGUACCUAACCAGAAAGCCACGGCUAACUACGUGCCAGCAGCCGCGGUAAUACGUAGGUGGCAAGCGUUGUCCGGAAUUAUUGGGCGUAAAGGGCUCGCAGGCGGUUUCUUAAGUCUGAUGUGAAAGCCCCCGGCUCAACCGGGGAGGGUCAUUGGAAACUGGGGAACUUGAGUGCAGAAGAGGAGAGUGGAAUUCCACGUGUAGCGGUGAAAUGCGUAGAGAUGUGGAGGAACACCAGUGGCGAAGGCGACUCUCUGGUCUGUAACUGACGCUGAGGAGCGAAAGCGUGGGGAGCGAACAGGAUUAGAUACCCUGGUAGUCCACGCCGUAAGCGAUUAGUGCUAAGUGUUAGGGGGUUUCCGCCCCUUAGUGCUGCAGCUAACGCAUUAAGCACUCCGCCUGGGGAGUACGGUCGCAAGACUGAAACUCAAAGGAAUUGACGGGGGCCCGCACAAGCGGUGGAGCAUGUGGUUUAAUUCGAAGCAACGCGAAGAACCUUACCAGGUCUUGACAUCCUCUGACAAUCCUAGAGAUAGGACGUCCCCUUCGGGGGCAGAGUGACAGGUGGUGCAUGGUUGUCGUCAGCUCGUGUCGUGAGAUGUUGGGUUAAGUCCCGCAACGAGCGCAACCCUUGAUCUUAGUUGCCAGCAUUCAGUUGGGCACUCUAAGGUGACUGCCGGUGACAAACCGGAGGAAGGUGGGGAUGACGUCAAAUCAUCAUGCCCCUUAUGACCUGGGCUACACACGUGCUACAAUGGACAGAACAAAGGGCAGCGAAACCGCGAGGUUAAGCCAAUCCCACAAAUCUGUUCUCAGUUCGGAUCGCAGUCUGCAACUCGACUGCGUGAAGCUGGAAUCGCUAGUAAUCGCGGAUCAGCAUGCCG